UACGUAGGGGGCAAGCGUUGUCCGGAAUGACUGGGCGUAAAGGGCGUGUAGGCGGCCGAUUAAGUCUGGAGUGAAAGUCCUGCUUUCAAGGUGGGAAUUGCUUUGGAGACUGGUUGGCUUGAGUGCGGAAGAGGUAAGUGGAAUUCCCAGUGUAGCGGUGAAAUGCGUAGAGAUUGGGAGGAACACCAGUGGCGAAGGCGACUUACUGGGCCGUAACUGACGCUGAGGCGCGAAAGCGUGGGGAGCGAACAGGAUUAGAUACCCUGGUAGUCCACGCUGUAAACGAUGAAUGCUAGGUGUAGCGGGUAUCGACCCCUGCUGUGCCGCAGUUAACACAAUAAGCAUUCCGCCUGGGGAGUACGGCCGCAAGGUUGAA
This 376-nucleotide ribosomal RNA is filed under the name uncultured bacterium. RNAcentral's name for it is "bacterial SSU rRNA". It matches the Rfam family "Bacterial small subunit ribosomal RNA", at positions 524 to 898 of the family's 1533-position model. The record is from RNAcentral.